AGCGAACGCUGGCGGCAGGCUUAACACAUGCAAGUCGAGCGGGCGUAGCAAUACGUCAGCGGCAGACGGGUGAGUAACGCGUGGGAACGUACCUUUUGGUUCGGAACAACCCAGGGAAACUUGGGCUAAUACCGGAUAAGCCCUUACGGGGAAAGAUUUAUCGCCGAAAGAUCGGCCCGCGUCUGAUUAGCUAGUUGGUGAGGUAAUGGCUCACCAAGGCGACGAUCAGUAGCUGGUCUGAGAGGAUGAUCAGCCACAUUGGGACUGAGACACGGCCCAAACUCCUACGGGAGGCAGCAGUGGGGAAUAUUGGACAAUGGGGGCAACCCUGAUCCAGCCAUGCCGCGUGAGUGAUGAAGGCCCUAGGGUUGUAAAGCUCUUUUGUGCGGGAAGAUAAUGACGGUACCGCAAGAAUAAGCCCCGGCUAACUUCGUG
This 435-nucleotide ribosomal RNA is filed under the name uncultured bacterium. RNAcentral describes it as "bacterial SSU rRNA". It matches the Rfam family "Bacterial small subunit ribosomal RNA", at positions 29 to 507 of the family's 1533-position model. The record is from RNAcentral.